CAAUAGCGUAUAUUAAAGUUGUUGCAGUUAAAAAGCUCGUAGUUGAAGAUACGAACGCUUACACUAGAACAAAGUUUCCGGUGUCUGCGUUCACUUUUCGCAAAGACAGCCUGGCCCAUUAGUUUGGGUCUUGUUUGAGUUGCGUCAUUUACUGUGAACAAAUUAGGGUGUUUAAAGCAGGCCUACGUUUGAAUUCACUAGCAUGGAAUAAUAAGAUAUGAUCUUGGUCGUAUUUUGUUGGUGACUACCAAGAUAAUGAUUGAUAGAAACUGUUGUGGGUAUUCGUAUGAGCAUGUCAGAGGUGAAAUUCUUGGAUUUUGAUCAGACGAACUACUGCGAAAGUAUUUACCAAGGAUGUUUUCAUUAA
This 367-nucleotide ribosomal RNA is filed under the name uncultured eukaryote. RNAcentral's name for it is "partial 18S ribosomal RNA". It matches the Rfam family "Eukaryotic small subunit ribosomal RNA", at positions 592 to 976 of the family's 1831-position model. The record is from RNAcentral.